UCCGUAGGCGGGCAGCUAAGUCUGUGGUGAAAGUCUGCAGCUCAACUGUAGAAUUGCCAUUGAUACUGGUUGUCUUGAAUUAUUAUGAAGUGGUUAGAAUAUGUAGUGUAGCGGUGAAAUGCAUAGAUAUUACAUAGAAUACCAAUUGCGAAGGCAGAUCACUAAUAAUAUAUUGACGCUGAUGGACGAAAGCGUGGGGAGCGAACAGGAUUAGAUACCCUGGUAGUCC
Molecule: ribosomal RNA, 229 nt
Filed under: uncultured bacterium
Lineage: Bacteria
Description: partial 16S ribosomal RNA
Rfam family: Bacterial small subunit ribosomal RNA
Source: RNAcentral